Long non-coding RNA from Oncorhynchus tshawytscha (Chinook salmon), 1987 nucleotides. Lineage: Eukaryota; Metazoa; Chordata; Actinopteri; Salmoniformes; Salmonidae. The record is from Ensembl.
CCUGGGUUUUCUUUAAAGGUCCAAUGCAGCCGUUUUUAUCUCAAAAUCAAAUCAUUAUCUGGGUAAUAAUGAAUAAGUACCUAACUGUGAUUGUUUUAAAUUAAAAUGGUAAAAAAAAACAAAUCUUCUUAGCAAAGUUCUUCUUAGCAAAGUUUCACAAUCUGAUUUGUAUUCUGACCAAUGACGGCUGCAUUGCAUCUUUUAUUUGCAUAUAUAUCCUCCUACUUUGUAGGGCUCUAGAGUCUAGACCUGGUAUUCCCAAACUGGGGUUUGCGUAUAUGCCACCGGGGGCACGCCAAAUAAAAAUGUGAGGCACAUUUAAAAUAAAUUCUUCACAUUUUCAAACAGUCCAUUUAUAUUUUCCAACGGGGCUAUACAUUUGGGUGAGGGUUUUUUCUCACCUGAGUAGCCUCGCUUCACUCCCAAAAAUCUAAUCUCGUGUUCAGUGAAACAACAACACAAUGUCAAAUACAGGUAGCCUAGUCAAAUAAUUAACAUCCAAUCACAUUAACCGUUACUCAUCCAAUCACAUUAACCGUUACUCAUCCAAUCACAUUAACCGUUACUCAUCCAAUCACAUUAACCGUUACUCAUCCAAUCACAUUAACCGUGACUCAUCCAAUCACAUUAACCGUUACUCAUCCAAUCACAUUAACCGUUACUCAUCCAAUCACAUUAACCGUUACUCAUCCAAUCACAUUAACCGUUACUCAUCCAAUCACAUUAACCGUUACUCAUCCAAUCACAUUAACCGUUACUCAUCCAAUCACAUUAACCGUUACUCUCUCGCGGGAAUUCCACUAAGGUAUGUCAUGUCGCCAAACGUAGCUGCUGCUCAUGUUGAUAUCUGUACUGAUGGCACAAAAGCCAUGACAGGGAGACAUAGUGGAGUGGUAAUGUGCAUGAAAGCAGUUGCUCCCAACACCACUUGGGUACACUGCAGCAUCCACCGAGAGGCUCUUGGGUACACUGCAGCAUCCACCGAGAGGCUCUUGGGUACACUGCAGCAUCCACCGAGAGGCUCUUGGGUACACUGCAGCAUCCACCGAGAGGCUCUUGGGUACACUGCAGCUUCCACAGAGAGGCUCUUGGGUAGACUGCAGCAUCCACCGAGAGGCUCUUGGGUACACUGCAGCAUCCACCGAGAGGCUCUUGGGUACACUUUUUAAAAUUGAGAGACAAGCUUAAAGUUUUCUUUACUGAUCAUAAUUUUCACUUGACUGCUUGCAUGAUGACAAGUUUCUCAUACGACUGGCCUAUCUGGGUGAUGUUUUUUCUCGCCUGAAUGAUCUGAAUCUAGGAUUUUAUGGACUCUCUGCAACUAUUUUCAAUGUGCGGGACAAAAUUGAGGCUAUGAUUAAGAAGUUGGAGCUCUUCUCUGUCUGCAUUAACAAGGACAUCACACAGGACUUUCCAUCAUUGUGUGAUGUUUGUGUGCAAAUGAACUCAAGCUUACGGACAAUGUCAAAUGUAGCAAAACACCUGAGUGAGUUGGGUGCGCAAUUACACAGGUACUUUCCCGAAACGGACGACACAAACAAUUGGAUUUGUUGUCCCUUUCAUGCCCUGCCUCCAGUCCACUUACCGAUAUCUGAACAAGAGAGCCUUAUCAACAAACGGUUCUGUGAAAAUUGAAUUUAAUCAGAAGCUUCUGACAGUAUCCUGCCUUGGCAAAUCGUGCUGUUAAGACACCGAUGCCCUUUGCAAACACGUACCUAUGUGAGAGUGGAUUCUCAGCCAUCACCAGCAUGAAACUAAAUACAGGCACAGAUUGUGUGUGGAAAAUGAUUUAAGACUGAGACUCUCUCCAAAACAUCCCAACAUUACAGAGUUAUGUGCAUCCUUUCAAGCACAUCCUUCUCAUUAACCUGUGGUGAGUUAUUCACACUUUUCUAUGAACAAAUAAGGGUUUAUGUGCAAGCUUGUUAAAUAAAGAGCAAAAUUAUUGAUUUAUUAUAUUAUUAUUUGUGCCCUGGUCCUAUAAGAG